GACAGAGGUGGCAAGCGUUGUUCGGAUUCAUUGGGUGUAAAGGGCAGGUAGGUUGCCUUGCAAGUCUGACGUGAAAUCCCAGGGCUCAACCCUGGAACUGCGUUGGAUACUGCUUGGCUUGAGUAUCGGAGAGGUGAAGGGAAUUCCCGGUGUAAGGGUGAAAUCUGUAGAUAUCGGGAGGAACACCAGUGGCGAAGGCGCUUCACUGGCCGAUUACUGACACUGAGCUGCGAAAGCAAGGGGAGCAAACAGG
RNAcentral lists this ribosomal RNA (253 nucleotides) under uncultured bacterium. Its description in RNAcentral is "partial 16S ribosomal RNA". It matches the Rfam family "Bacterial small subunit ribosomal RNA", at positions 524 to 776 of the family's 1533-position model. The record is from RNAcentral.